AGAGUUUGAUCCUGGCUCAGAAUCAACGCUGGCGGCGCCUUAACACAUGCAAGUCGAACGAGAAAGUGGAGCAAUCCAUGAGUAAAGUGGCGUACGGGUGAGUAACACGUGGAUUAUCUGCCCUUGAGUGGGGAAUAACGAUGGGAAACCGUCGCUAAUACCGCAUAUUCCCGAGAGGGGAAAGCAGCAAUGCGCUGAGAGAGGAGCCCGCGGCCGAUUAGCUAGUUGGCAGGGUAAAAGCCUACCAAGGCAGAGAUCGGUAGCCGGCCUGAGAGGGCACACGGCCACACUGGCACUGAAACACGGGCCAGACUCCUACGGGAGGCAGCAGUGGGGAAUCUUGCACAAUGGGGGAAACCCUGAUGCAGCGACGCCGCGUGAGCGAUGAAGCCCUUCGGGGUGUAAAGCUCUUUCGGCAGGGAAGAUAGUGACGGUACCUGCAGAAGCAGCUGCGGCUAACUACGUGCCAGCAGCCGCGGUAAUACGUAGGCAGCGAGCGUUGUUCGGAGUUACUGGGCGUAAAGGGUGUGUAGGCGGUUGUUUAAGUUUGGUGUGAAAUCUCCCGGCUCAACUGGGAGGGUGCGCCGAAUACUGAAUGACUAGAGUACGGGAGAGGAAAGUGGAAUUCCUGGUGUAGCGGUGAAAUGCGUAGAUAUCAGGAGGANNCCGGUGGUGUAGACGGCUUUCUGGACCGUAACUGACGCUGAGACACGAAAGCGUGGGUAGCAAACAGGAUUAGAUACCCUAGUAGUCC
This 754-nucleotide ribosomal RNA is filed under the name uncultured bacterium. Its description in RNAcentral is "bacterial SSU rRNA". It matches the Rfam family "Bacterial small subunit ribosomal RNA", at positions 8 to 796 of the family's 1533-position model. The record is from RNAcentral.